UCCAGAUGAAGGUUGGUGGAAGUCUCC
RNAcentral lists this non-coding RNA (27 nucleotides) under Rattus norvegicus (Norway rat). Lineage: Eukaryota; Metazoa; Chordata; Mammalia; Rodentia; Muridae. The record is from RNAcentral.